Varroa destructor (honeybee mite) is the source of this 1325-nucleotide long non-coding RNA. The record is from RefSeq and is a predicted model, not a curated record. Lineage: Eukaryota; Metazoa; Arthropoda; Arachnida; Mesostigmata; Varroidae.
CGACAUAGGAAACUAAACGAAUCGCUGGAUAAACACGGCACAAGAAUUUUUGAAGGGGCCGGCAAUUCGUCGUGGCACACGGUAACAGAUUCUUCUAUAAGCUAUACUGUGGUCACAGCCCACGAGAGCACCUUGACUCGACGCGCAGAGAUCCAACUAGCCGCUAUUAGAACUAGCCUACACUUCCCGACUAGGUGAGGCCUUAGAAGAGCACAAGAAUGUAUUUCCUACACAACAUUCAAUAACUAUUCGUCCGAUAUCGUACUCGGACAAUCUGAUCUGAGUCAAAAACGAAAGCAGAAGUUUCAACCGGUGAAUAAUUAAGUAAGCCGGGUAUGCGACUAGAAGACAUCACCAGGCGUGAGUUUCGUCGGCCGACAAGGCGAGAGAAUCGUUUGUGAGCCCUAUAAGUCUAAGAAACGGUAAGCAUAUUCGAGGCAGUUGAAUUCGGCCACGGUGGCUCGACAACAGACGUGCGCCGUAAAAACAGUGCGUCAUAAACAAUAACACAUAAUACAACGCGAUACUCUCACGUUCGCAGAGCGCGCUAUGGUAAGUUCUAAAUUUCGCUCAAAUUUUCACGAGAGAAAGGUUUCGCGCACAUCAGUCACCCGCGCAACUUCAAAACACGACUUCCACAUUCAUAGCAGCGAGUUUCACAUCCGAGACAGCAACGACAGCAUGGAGGCAUAGCAGCAUUACGACGACCAGACGACGGCGGCGGCAAGAUACACAGUGAUGUAAAUUGAAGGACAGAAAUUCCGAAUUGAACCCGGAAGCGUGGAGAAAAGCUUUGACCCUAAUUAAAAGUCGAUAUGUGAAUCUGCCUAACCACUUCCGCUUAGCGAUAUGGCUGCUGUCGACGUCUUUGGAAAAAAAGUAUGCAUGUCGCGAAUGUCCUGGGAGGUUACUGAUUAAGAGUUUGGCUCGUUCGCGUUGAAGUGACACGAAGCAGGGACGAGUAACGAAGGAGCUAGUGAUUCAAGUUCCGAGAUGACUAUAAGCAGUAAACAUCGAAAUAGAUUCAUACUGCUUUUGGUAGCCUCAUUGGGUUUGCUUUAAUGGUUUUUGCCGUUACUUUUGCUUUUCAUUUUUGUUUGCUGUCUUUAUUGUGAGUCGGCUAAUAGUUUGGAUAUAAGGCGAUAAGAACAAGGGGUAGCUUAUGGAUCGUCCGCACGGCUGGCUCUGUCCGUUGCUGGACGAAAAAAAAAUAACGAUACGAAUGGACCGAUCUUCUCUAUUUUCCUAUUGCUAACAAAUGAGUGAGCGUUGUUGAGUCAAUCAGGACACCAUACCGUCAGCAGAUGUGUGCGUGACUCGUCAGA